This is a long non-coding RNA of Tympanuchus pallidicinctus (lesser prairie-chicken), 13990 nucleotides long. RefSeq lists it as uncharacterized. Lineage: Eukaryota; Metazoa; Chordata; Aves; Galliformes; Phasianidae. The record is from RefSeq and is a predicted model, not a curated record. The transcript has 6 exons.
AUCUUUUGGAACACUUUCUAAAAAUAGUUGCUGUUUGAGAAAGUGAAGAUGUAUGUUGUGUUUUUUUGGUGUUUUUUUUUUUUAUUAAAUGCAACAUUUCAAAGCAAUUCAAAUGUUUAGCAAAUAGCUCAUUGCUAUCUUUGAUUUGAAGAACUGUUCAAAUCAAGCCAUGACUGAUAUGACGCUGAUUUCUAUUUUCUAGCUACUGAUUUUUUUAUCUUCCUAAACGUUGUAGGAUUUCUGUUUCAUUAAUUCUUAAGUAUUUUGCAGUGAAAUGGCUGAAUUUAAGCCUUGCUGCUUUAGUUUUUUGGCUGCCUCUGCUCCCAUGGGAGUAACUUUCCCUAAGAGUGCAACUCAGACCUAGGCCUGCAAGCUCUGGGUCAUGGGAUUUCUGUCAUUGCACAAGGCUGUUCUGGACAGGGGCUUUGGCAUAUUGGUGUGGCACUGUGCUUCCUAGCUUACUUCACCCUAAUCACCAAGUAGCUGUCAUACAGAUGUAAGCUUUCAGUGGCUGUCAGAUCGAAACUAAUGUCCUUGCCCACAAAAGAUAUCAUAACUUGAGGUUAGCUCAAGUCCACGUAGCUACCUUAGAGCUGCAACGCUUGUAGAUAAACAGGUGGAUAUGUCUCAACAGGAGUACCAGGCUGGAAUUAUCUGAAGUUUCCCAUAUUAGAACCUGCCCUAGGAAGGGAUUUCAGAUAGCAUCAGUAAAGCUCCUGAGCUGAAUGGCUUUUGUGGAAAUGGCUGGGACUACUUCUCAGCUGCAGUCAGGGCAAGAAGCAAGGGAUUAAAAGUUUCCCAUGUAUAAAAAUGGUGCUGGGGAAAAUAAGGGAAAAAUAUCUCAGAGGCACUUAUGUGCUCCUACUUGUUCCUGGGUUUCUGGGGACUGGUAGGAAUGUCAGUCUAACUAGAGGCAGUUCCACAUGUACUUCGUAAUGUCAGAUGGAGUGGCAAUAAAUUUUUCAAGGUGGGCUCCUGUGGAACUUACAGCCCAGCUGGAUUCUCUCCAGUCAGUGUCAGUCUGCAGUUAUUUAUUCAGGGCAAAUAUUUGACCUUCUGAUGCCAGACUGUCACUUGAGAACAGUCUUCUGUCACUGAAACCAGUUCACAGUGCAAAGACAGAGAGUUCUUGUCUUAGGGAUCAUUUGAGCUGGAAGGAAGUUCCUUGCUCUUUGUGGAGAGUACUUUCUGCAAGGAUUUGAGGGAGAAAUCUACUUUUCUGCUAUGUGUCAGGCUCAGGUCCAUAUGCUGUUAAAUUCACAACUCCAUGACCAGGUCGUCUAUCAGCCUCUUCUGGCCCUCUAAGAAAAACAGACUUUGCAGGAGUGAAAGUGCUACUAGAAAACAGAAAAUGAAAUGAAAACCUAAGCCUGGCUGGAACAAUAUAUGACAAACCACCAAGUCUUGUGCCAGUGUGUUUACCUUGGCAGGCUCUGUCUCUCCUGCUGGAAGAACCAAGUUCUCUCACUACUGUGAGAAUUCUUUUGUGGACUUAAAAAAAGAAAAGAAAAGAAAAAAAGAAAAAACAGACAAAAGAAAAACAGAGCCACCGCCCUGAAGCAGAUCAUUCAUCAUAAACAGUGGGAGCAUGAAAGGCGACUUGCUUUGACCUAGUUACAAAAACAAAAACAAACAGACUUUCCCUAAUUGCCUGAAUGACUCAAGUGGGCCUGAGUGUCAAAGGCAACAAAUCUGUGCUUCCUUCAGAGCUAUAUGUUAACUGUGGGACACCAGGCUACAGCCUGCUCCAGUUCAAGACCUUGGGAGAUGCCUCUGAGCCCAAGGAAGCCUGGGUAAGCAAAAGACAGCCAAUUCUGUGUGCCUGCACGCACAAACAGGAUCAAGUGCCAGGACAAACAUGUUUCAUAAAUUGUGACAAAGGCAGUGGCUUUCAAUGCUGAGACUAUCAGGGUUUCAGUGCUUACGUUGCUUUGCUUUGUUAUCAUGGUACUGCUGCAGGACGGGCCCAACUUUCUGUCCAGCAGCAUUUGCAGAGCUGUCGCUGAUUUACUGAGGCUCAGUGCCUUAUUUUAAAUGAGCCUGAGGGUAGUAGGUACUUAAAAUGCCCAAGAGCACUGUUCCCAGCUUUCUAAGCCUCAGCAAAAAACAAACGUCAGUGCAUCGCUAUUGCAGGAUGCGUGCUAGAGAGGGUGAGAGCAAACAGGGAUAGGGCAAGUGAACAAAGUUGGAAAGCAGGAGAAGAGGGAAUGGAGAGACUUCAAGGGCAUGGGACAUGUGCGAAGUGUCUAUGCCCAUAUGUUAGAGAAAGCCGUUUAUUUACCAGCUACGGGAAGCAGCCUGGGAAAAUCAGCAUGCCAGGUUUCUGGAGCUGCCCAUUUUCAGUCAGGUAAAAGUCAUCCCUUUGGCAUCUCAUUCUGCAGCCUUUCUAUGUGUUUUAGUUGUCCUAUAUGUAUGCCAAAGUAGCUCUUUUAGGAGCAGUUGGGAUGGCCUUUCAGUAGAAGAAAAUGAAUUUACUUAGGCUGUAAUUCUCACCCAGGGAGUGCUGGCAGCAUCUUCAGUGCUGCACAGAAAAGGCUGUGGGGGGUGGCAGAGACAGCACUUUUCUGAAGCCCACAUGGGGUCUCAUUUUUUUCAGUUUUAGAGGGCAGGUUCACAAGAGUUUGUAUGUUUUCCCCAGCUGGUUCACCAUCUAUUUUAGAUGGAACUGUUUGAUCUCUUUCUGUUUGUAGUCCUUUCAGUUUCACAAACAAUAGGAGGAAGCUUGCCUGUUACCAUGUGUUUGGGCCCCAGCUAAGCUUCUCCCAGCUGGAAAAAUCAGUCCAUGAACUACAGAGGGUUUUCUCCAGCUGUAAUUACCAGUUCCCUUGUGCAUCUUGUAAGGUAACAUUGUCCAGUGGGGAUCUUAGAGCACCUGGGCAAAGGGCUGUGCUGGCCAGGACGCUCUUAUACUAGAAAGAAGGCUGCAGCUGUUGAGUGCUUUCAUUUGAAAUGCUAAUGGUGAUUAUCAGGUCAUGGAGUCCCAUGAGGUCCUCCUUAAUGUUUGCUGUCUUAGGAUGGACUUACUAACUUGGAAGAAAAAGGAUUAAUGUGUGCUGCAGCAGACUUCUGAAGGCCUUGGCAGCUCUGCACUGUGGGAAGGCAGUCCCUGGCUGUGCCAGAGAUGUCCCAGAAGAGCCAGCACUGUUAAUGCCACAAAGGCUGAGCAGUUGCCUGUUCCUAGCUAGCUAGCUAUUGCCUAUUGUGGGAGUGGGAGAACAAUGGAACAAAUGCAACUGCCAAUUCACAUACCUCUUGCAUCUGGAAUGGUGUGGCAGGAUUCCCAUACAGCUCCUCAGCUGUAGAAGGUAAAGGUCCGCAGUACCAAAUAUAGGAGUGACUAUACAAAGAUGCGGUGUAGGAAGACUGCGCUAGGAUUCAGUUUAAGAAGUGUGGAUCUCAGUUCUGCUGUGCUGUGAAAUAAGUAAUCAGGACUUCCCAUGCACUUAAAUAAUGUUCAUAGCCAGAACUUUGCUAGACACGAACUGCAGCACUGAGCAUCUUUCAGGAUAUGUUCUUGACAGUGUUUAUGGAGUUCAUGCAAAUGUUUGCAACCAAUUUGCAACUUUACGUGGAAAUUUCAUGAGAAAGUCUUUCCCGUGAGAGACUUACUCCUUCCUCCUUCCUGUGGGGCUGGGAAUACUCUGAUUAGAGCCUCUGCACUGGUAUUUCAGCACUUCUGAUCCCCCUUGGAACAGUAAAGUGCUGAGGCAGCCACAAACAAUGGGAGAGAGAGAGAGAGGAAAACCAUUCGUUGCAGCUUCCUUGGAAUUCAGUGAUAGGGCUUCCCUAAAACAAGCUUUGAGGUCUGAUUAUUACACUGAUAUGCUGCCAGUCUGGCAAUAAGCUACAGGCUGACCCACUGAAAUUGUUAUUUGCAGUAAUGAACAUGUGCUUGCUUUAAUCUCGCUGGCAGUAUUAGUGAAGGUGCUUAGAACUGACUUCACGCAUCAAACUCUUUGGGGCUGGUACACACUGGGUACCUGCUCUGUGCCCUUCUAGCCAUGUUGGCAUACGAUCUUUGUUUGAGGCUGGGACCAGAAGCAUACGGAGCACGCUUUCCUGCAUGCCCCAGCCCUGGUGGAAAGCAGGCAGUGUGGGCUUGUUCUCCCAGUGCCUGACUUUGCAUUUGCCUGAGCAGAACUCCCUACUUCCCGCACAGAUCUCACCCAGAGCCCUGGCGCCAGGUUUAUCACUCACCUUUCUGGCUGCAGAAUCCUUUGGUGGAAAAGCCUGUCUUUCGGCCAUGCCACCACCUUCUCUGAACUCAUUUUCCUUGUUCCUAUUGUUCGACAACUUCCUGAGCCCUGCUGUUGGAUGGCUGUUUCCUGAUUCUGGGUAUCUCUCACUUCCUGCAAUGAAAUGCAAGGACUUAUAUUUGUACUCACAUUUCUAAGUAAUGUCCUGGUGGACAGUGCUGCCAGCAACAGGAUGAGUCCUCUUAGGGCUUAAUGAUUGACAGAAAACUUUUUGUCUUCAUGCCACAAUUUGGUGCAAGGAAGGUAAAUGAUCCAAGCUCGUGCGUGAUCGGGGCAAACUUUCUGUUGGCUUCCUCAUGGUCUUAUUUUCCUCUCAACCCUGCACUGAAACUGCCAAUAAAGAGAGUUUCUGAGUUUUGGCACUAGAGGGCCCAAAGGCCGUUUACACAGUGACCCAGUUCUGCUAGAAGCUGUGUUGAAGGUUUGUGUUUCAGAGGGUAUAACAGCAGGCUGAACUUGAAGGUUUGAAAUAAACUAAUUAGGUUCAUUUACUGUGGUAGUUGACAUGUAACAUUUUAUCUAGGCUUUUCAGCUGGCUUUACAUGAGUAGGCUGAGUCCAGUCGUUCUCAGCCUUCUGGAAAAGUUGAUCUCUGGACCAAGCUUUGCAGCUGGGGUUUAUUUCCUCUUGGUCUACUGAGUAUGUCAUCCUCCAGGAAUGUGUUCUGUGCCUGUAUGAGAGAGCAGGAGACUAAUAGGCAUGAGGCUUCCCACCUUAGAUAAAACUAUAUCUUGGCUGGGAGGAUUUUAAAGCCACAUGGAGGAGCUAUACUAAUAGACUUGUUCAGGUUUCCAAAAGAGAAAGAUAUUUUGAUAAUAUAUUUGGCCCAACCUCUGUAGCCACAGUUACAGUGGGCAAGAAAUCUGACUUCGCACAUGUGAAGGAGCAAGUGUUCAAGGUAUUUCAGAAUGCAUCUUUUAUGGGAUAAAACCUUAGUUGGGAAGCUGGCACCUUCCUAUCUGCCUGUCCUAGGGAAAAGGGAGUUGCCGGUCAGCUUGUCUCACCAAGUGGUGACAAAUGGAAGGGCAGUUUUGGGGCAGCCAAACUCACCACAGUAGUCGCUGAGCUUGUCGGUGUUUGCUCCUAUUUCUGGGAUGAUUGAAAGAUCAGAAGGGUUUCCAGUCUGAACCAAGAGGCUAUGAGGUCUGCUUCUCCCUGCCAGAAAUGUCUUCAUGUCUUGGUACGAGUUGAGGAACAUGCUGGCAGCUCCACAGGAGCAAUGCUGCAUGAGGUACUCCUACACCAGACAAGAGAAGGUAAGCAGACUGUGAGGCUGCAGCAGCUCAAGGUAGCGGGUCAGUGUGAAGGCACAGACAGAUUGCAAGCAUUCCAGCCCUGGGAUGCUCAGCCUUGUCCUGAGACCUGACAGGACCCAGAUAAGGGAUUUACCUCUCUGUAAGGCUGAGCAAUCUAGAGUAAGCAAUGCAGAUUUUUUCAUGGAUUCAUUAGUGCUUGACUUGAACUGCUUGGUGUUCAGCAGCUUUUGGGGUUGUUUGCCAGAAGGAGUUGAAGACAGUUUCUAAACACAGAGCUGCUCAGCUGAAGCAGUUGUGUAAAUAAACAUCCAUUAUAACAGACUCACAUUUUAUGAUAAUAUUAUUUGUUUUGGACCAUGCACAGACAACAAUAUCUUGUAUUUUUAUUGAUGGGAGGCCAUAACUUGCUAACGUGUUACCAAACACUCACCAUAUGUGGUGCUUUGCUGUAGCUGGUACAGUGAGAGAGGGAGCCUUUCAACCUUGUAAUUGACAAUCUUAAUGUAACAUCUCAUAUGGAUAUGUUUCACAUAGCACUUUGCAGUAUCUGGGCUUUUGGGGGGGUGCUUUGAAAAGCUGAUAAAAUAUGUUGCUUUUUACCCAGGGCAUUGAGGAUCAUUUGUAAAGCAAAGGACAUGAAGUAACUGUGUUCCCUGUGCUCCUCAGUAUCAACUCUGUACACAGCCCCUGCCACAGGUGUGUCUGGGAGGUCUUUUGGUAAGUAUGGAGGUCAUUAAGCUGGUGAGAUCUAAUGGGAUCGCAGUAAAGGCAGAGAAUGAUACCUCCUCUUUAUUGUGGUUUGGCAAGUAGCCUUAAGAUGCCCCCCCUCCCAGGAAAAAGUCAUGCGGACAUCAGCUGUUAUGUCCUAUGGCAAAUAGUGGUAGUAAUGUUUCUCUUCUAUAUUCUUCUAUAUAUAUAUGUAUAGAGGGCUUGUGGGACUGAGGAGGAAAAUAAUGGAGAAUUACUUGGAUGCAGAAGAUGCAGGCACCACAGUAAUACCGGGAGAGCAUUCAGUUUUGUAGAUCAUGUUGCAAGUGCUGAGUGUUACAACUGGGAGUGCAGUUCCCCCAGCAUAUCACGGGACAUAUGCAGGCAAGAAGGCUGUGUUGAGAGACCUUGGAAAAUACUGUGAGGACCAGUUUCGAAUAUUUACAUAAAUGCACGGUGCCUUUCAUUUUAAUGGGAGCUGGAGGAUGGUGCACAUACACCAGAUGAUGAUUUGACCCUGAAUUUGCAGCUUAUAAGGGUUGCUUUGGGCAAUGACUCAGUUGUAGAGCUUCAGGAAACGUGUUAACAAUUCCCAGGCUCUAUGCAGGAGGUUGCAUUCCUCUGAGUGUGAGAGAUGAGUACAUGGAAAUGACGAGCCUCCCUGCUCUGCAACCUGACUCACAACUUGGCUUCAGCUCUGAGAAGGAGCUGGUCACCUACUGCAGAUCCAGUCCCAGCAGGUGGGAGAGCAGUACCAGGGGAGGAAUGACUGUGUCGGAGGAAUGAAAGACUCAUCACAGCAUGGUGGGAAGAAAUAGCUGAGUGUGACAGACCCCUUGUGUUCCUUUGGGGGUGAUAUAAUAAAUGAAAGGGGAGAAAGGGAAGGGAGGUGAAAAGGUGGAAAGCUGGUAUGGUGGCCAAAGAAAAGGAACUGAGAAAAAGAGGUGGCGCGGAGCUGAACAAAGUGUUCAGGGUCUGAGAACUUGGUGUGUGGGAGGAAGCUGAAAUGACUUGAAAAUUUAAAUCAAAUUCCACAGCUAGCUCUGGCUGAUUUAAAAAAAAAAAAAAAAUUAAUGAAAGAAAAGACAGAUGGGAGCACUAAGAUGUUUCAAGUCAUAAAUUCUGAGUUCUUUACAGAGAGAGUGGCAAAGUGCUGGAACAGGCUGCCCAGAAAGACUGUAGAUGCCCCGUUCCUAGAGGUGUUGAAGGCCAGAUUGGACGGGGCCCUGGGCAGCUUAGUCUAGUAUUAAAUGGGGAGGUUGGUGGCCCUGCAUGUGGCAGGGAGGUUGGGAUUCAUGAUCCUUGAGGUCCCUUCCAACACUGGCCAUUCUGUGAUUCUGUGAUUCUUCCUUUGGUAGCUCAGCAGAGCAGAAAGAGAAAACUAAAAAACAAGCAUGGAUGUUGGGCAGUGGUACCACCAAUUCUCUCUUCUACUGUGUCUAUUUUGUGGGAAAUUCUGGGAUUUCGACCACAUGAAAAUAGAAGGGAAAGAAAGAACUUGCAAUUCAAAACGUGUGAUUGCUACAGAAGUCCAUGACAGUGUUUUGUUUUGAUAACACUGUCAGAGGGAGAUGCAUUCUUGGGGCAUUUUUGACUGCAAAGAAAUGAAAGCUACCAACAGAGUUGGCCAUGGCAUGAGGUGAGGGGGCCCUUUUUAACUCAACAGAAGCAAGUAAAUGGCAGUUAGGGCAUCUGAGAAACAAAACUGGAUGAGAAGAGAAAUCUAAGACCACCCCAAGAGAAACUGAGCUCACCAUGGAGGGCAAGGGCUCCCUAAAGAGCAGAGCACCCAGCCCAGGUGGUCAAGUAAAAUCAGCAUCAUCCCUCAGGUGGGCUGGAGACUUCCCAUAUGGGCCUUGAGUAUAUCAUUUAAUGAAAGAUUCUAUGCUGUCUGCUUACCUCUUUUAUCUGGCUCAUCUUCUGCUCUUUCUGUAAGCUGCAGACUUGCUUUUGGAGCCGCAGGUUGUGCUCCUGCAGCUGCCCAAUCUUCUCAAUCAGUUGGCAAAUGUGUUCCAGGUAUCCCAGGCCAGAUCCCAGGGCUUUGCUGUUCCCUUGGUUCACCUGCAAUGACAAAACAGCCUGAGCCACAGAUGGCAGAGCAACCCUUACUGGCAUCUGGGAGCCCAGCCUGCUCUUUGCAGACACAUGUACCUGAAUCGAUCUGCAUCUUGUGAACAACAUCUUCCCAAUUUAGUAGAACCCAGAUGCCAUUUUCUCAGAUAUUAAGGAAGUCUGCUGGCCCAAGUUUGCAAUAUAGCUUUGUCAGGAUGUUCUGUAAGUGUGGCAUCAACUGGUCUUAAAAUGCUUUUAUCAGAGCACUGGCAAAAAUGAUCAGUAUUGGAGAGAAACAUUGCAAUGCUGUGAGUUUUACUGUGCUGUAGUUCUUUCAGAAUGACGAGUCGCCCAUUUGGAAAUGUGUGCUUUCAGCUUGGUCUCUUUGGAGCUGAGCUCAAGGCACAGCAGCUGCCUGGGACUGGGCACUAGGAGGUGGUGUGAUUUUUGAUGAAAAGGAUUGCCUGUGUUGCUGUCCGUGAGCAGAUUUUCGCAGUGUUUGUGCGUCAGCAGAAAAGCAUGAGCCACGAGUAGGCUGUACUGCUGCUCUCUGCCCAACCAGGACCUGCAGUGUCUCCCCAUGCCCAGCCUGUAGCCUCUGCCCCAGGGCUUCCCUGCACGUGGGCAGGGCACCGCUGGAUGCAGUGCUCACAAAUGCACGCAGAGGCUCUCUUCCACCUUGGCGCUGCCUGCUGCUGUGCAUCUGAUGUCAGUAAGUAAAAUAAGCCUCAACCUUUACAAAAACGGUGCUGUAAGUUUACCUUCAAAAAAAAAAAAAAAAGUUCCCUCUACAAAAGCAGGAAGCCUACUCUGUCUCCUUUCCCACAACAAUCUACGUUUUUGGGGAAAUGCCAGCCUUAGGACUCUUCCUGUCUUUUCAUUAUGUCAGAAAGCUCAUGGUGUGUUCAAAAAUAAUCAGCAUUAGGAUUUACUUCUUUUUAAACAAAUGAUGAUACAAUGUUGUUUAUAAAUAGGCGUUAUUAUGUCCAGAUGUUUUUGUGUCUGAAGCUGGGACAGAGGUCACAUGAAAUGGUAUGAAAAUCCACUGUGACUCCAAGUCUCCAUUGGCCAUUUGCCUUCCUGAGCUCUGUGUCCCUCUCAGCAGCACCCGGAGGAGAAGUGGCAGGACAGAGGUCACCCAUCCCAAAAGAAAAGAGGGAAAAGGAGUACUUGUUCCAGGCUUCUAGCAAGGGGGAUUCACCCUUGUGGAGGAGCUAAACCACAUUGGGUAUAAUAUACUGGAGGAUCCCAUUCUACAGCCAUCCCUCAGAGUGCCCAGAUCGGGAACUUCAGGCUAUUGAACAGCAAAUUAAUGUGUGUUUUGUUGCCAUGAUCCCAGCAGGUGCAAAGGAGUGAGAAGGCGACCAACCAGGCAGAGCCUGCAGUGUUUGCCCACCCCUGCAGGGCCAACCAUCUCAGUAGGUAGCACGCAAGUGUAAGAGCUUUGAAGGGAGAGCUUCAGCUUUUGUGCCCUCCCACGAGGCCCAUUUGCGGUAGGAUUGCUCAGAUGUGGUGGGCAUUCAAUACAGAAAGUUUGUGUAACUUGGCAGGUUGCCCCCAAAAAUGUUUGCCCAGAGAGGGCCUCUCCAGGGCCCCUUCCAGGACUUUUUUUCCAUGGACUGGAAACGCCUACACAUCCCUCACUAUCUUCUGGCUGUGCUGCGUACAGAACCUGCUCUGUCACGUAUUGGUAUAAAUAUUUUCCUCUCAGCACCUAUCAGAGUUUUAUGCUUGAAGUUGUGGGGGAGCAACCACAGGAAAACUGCAAACAUUUUCCAGGAGGAGUCCCUUUCUGUCUGUCCUCUCAGAUGAAGCUUCCCAAAACAUUCAUCUCACGGGGCUGAAAUGUUUCCCAUUCCCCACUGGGGAUUGCUAAAUAGUACUCGAACAAAAGCCAUGUACCUAUUUUUGGGUGCAUAAAACCUAUGUUUCUUAAUAUAAAGAUGCAGAGGAUCAGGUAGAGCUUACAAAUCGGAAGGUUAAAGUUAGAAUAGGGAACAAUAAUGUAUAAAUUGUGCCAGCUUUUUCUUUCGGGCACGUCAAACUGAAAGACACUCUCAGAAAGAAGAAAAGGACGGCAAGGUCCCAGCCCCACUGUGCUGAGUUGCUCUCACUAACAAUUUGACCGUGUGGAUUGAAGGGAAACUGGAGUGAGAUCUCUGCCCUUGGGAGUGCUCACCUGACUAGGUUUUGGGGAUGGGUUUUCAGCAGGUGCAGCCCUCCUCAGCAAUAAAUCCUCACAGUUCUGCUAGCUCACAAAUUCCUUGGGAAGCCUAAAAAUACAGGAUCAGUGCCUGCACUGGGAGCUGCUGCUCUUAUCUGGAGCUCUCUGGUCAAUAUUUUGGCUGGUGUAAAAUCAUGCUUUUCCUCCAAAGUCACUGGAGUUGCUCUACCUUAUUGCACUACUGAGGUAUGAAGGCCAGUGGGAGCUGCAAGACAGACAGUUGUUUACCAGACUCUUUGCUUUCUCCCAUGAACAAUUUUGAGUAGAACAGUACUCUGUCCUUCUAGAAAUCCCCAUCCGCUUUCCUCCACCCCAUCAGCAUGGCGAGCAAGGAUGGAGCAUGGGGCCUGCACAAAGGCAAAGGAAUGUAAUCACAUGCUGCACAUCAUGGGCUUGGAGCGACUGAUUGGUGACGCCAUAGGCAGUGCGGGAAGCAUUUGUCAGUGGGAGCUGACAGCACCCUGAGGCUUGUGAAUAACAGGAAAGUGAGGGAUCAUGCUGUAUAUUUCUGAUCACUCCACCCUGAUGUCCACGAGUGGUUGCACUGCUGAUAGCUUCUGGUUUCCUGCGCGUGGCACGCACAGGCUAUGGGCAGAGCAUCACAGCUUGCCCUAUCCUUCCCCUCAACCCUUCUCCUCUCCACUGACAAGUAGUUUGACUUCUUUGGACAAGGAUAAUUAGUGCUGUGUGAUUAAUGGGCUUUUUUUUUUCAUUUAAUGACGACAACGUUCCCUCCCUCUCUCUUCUUGUAGGGGCCUGGGCUGACUUUAAAUGUAAACUUUAUGGAGUGUGAGGAAGUGUUUGCAAAGCAAAAGCAUCAAAAGCUAAGUAUCUUCAAACUGACCCAAAACAUUUAAUUUGGCUUAAAAGGAAAUGCUUUUAUUUAGCCUUCAAAGUUCUCUUGUUGUUUAACAGCUUCCACACUCUUUCAUCUUUUUAAAUGUAGGCAAAUUUCAAAAUAACGCCAGUUCAAAACAGAAGAUCAGAACGCUUUGUUUAAGAAAUGCCAGACUGAAAUGAUGUGAUGUAUAUUUUCAACCAAAACCUUUCACCAAAUGAAUCCAAAGCAUCAAAACAUUUGUCUUUUCCAGUCCCUCUUUUCCAGCACUUUCCCUCAUGUUUCUGUGAAGCAGUCUCAGCAGCAAGGUUGGAGGAUAUCAAGUCCUCAUCCAGGGCUGCAUCCUCUCUUGAUGGUAAGCUCAGAGCCACUGGCAAUACCACAGCCAACUGGGCUGGGGAAACUCCAAGUGAAUUAAUGCAUUAGGAAUUAAUUGGAAGGGGCAUGUUUUUUUGCCAAGCAGAGUGGGAAUUCCAUGUACUGGCCUGUUGUCUUUCAGAUGACACUGACUGUGUUUCCAGAGAUGUCAAGCCUGGAGUGGUCUUAGGGACACAGACAAGAGUUGGCUUCUAAGUCACAUUUCAGACAGGUGACAGGAGCAUGUGAAAACUCCAGUGAGCACGGAGCAGGGCCUCAGCUGGGGCAAACCAAGAUGCAUCCAUCAGUUGUACAGAUAGAUCACUCUGGAUCACACAGUGUCCUGCCUGCACUGCAUGACAGUGAGGACGGGACAACAUUGUGCAGGUUUAGCGAGGGCACAAAGCUCUGUCGUUGCUGUCCUCAUGCUCUGAGGCUCAAAUACAGCAGCAGCCCUGGUCUGUUGUUGCUCCAGAUAGCCUGGGCACUGCUGGCAUCCCAGCAGUUAGCAGAGUGCUGCUCCUGAGAUAGAGCAGCCCAGAGGUGCUCUGUGACGGGGGGCAGGCUUCCCCAGUGUCCAGGUCACAGCUGUAUUUGUACUGCUCCAAAAACAAACACAGAGAAGUGCUCUGGGGCACAGAGCUUUAGCACUCAGCCAGUGAGGAUAUUAAAAAGGAGAGGAGAUAAGCCACGAAGAGCUUCAUUUCCUCUUCAGUCUCUUUCUAAUUUAUUCUCUUGUUUAUUUAAAUGGUCUGCUUUGGGAAACUGAGGCUUGGCUUCACAAAGGAUUUAAAGGAAUUUCAUGGGCAGCCAAAGCUGUCAGACAAGAUCAAGCUAGCUGCAAACCCUCCAGAGCGACAGAGAAUUUAGAUGGGAAGCCACGCGUGGACUCACCAUGGUAACACAGCCCCACAUUCUGAUGAUAUAGGCAGCAUCCCCAGGCCUGGUGUGUGACAUGGGAUGACUGACUCUCUGGAGCCUCCAACAGGUACUGCUCUUGGGAAUUACUUUUUAGAGGGGUCCAAGCACCUUGUACGUUCUGAAAAGCCCCCUCUAUGCACUCUUUGGUGACCGCUGGUACUUAGCCUGCCCUCUCCUUUCCUUCUGCCUACUGAGCUCUCUGUUCUGGCUCUCACUCAGGUAUUAACUUGCAGUGAAGUUAACUUUUUGUCGCUAGCUCCUGGAAGCCACAAUGGCAGGCAGGUUCACAAUCUGUCAGCAUGUCUGUGUGCACUCCAGGCAAAGCUCUGGCCUGAGCACUUGCCAGCAUUUAGUGUGGAGCAGGUACUCAGGCGGCUUUUUAUUCUCCUAUUCAUUGCACAGUGUACCCAGCAAUGGGAAAGGAGUGAGUUUGAAGUAGCACAAGUUACUGAAAAAAUUACUUCUUUGUAAUUAAGUCGGUCUCUGAACACAAGAAUUUCCAUCACAGCUGUUCCAGUAAAGUAAAAUGGAAACUCCCAGCAAAGAUUUGGAUUUGUGCAUUAAUUUGCUGUUCACUCACUACUUGAGAACUGACUCUUGAGCCAGAUCCAGGCCUGGGCAGAAUGAACUGCCCCUCAGACAAGUUUUCUCCAAACUUUGAAGCCUCAACAGCCAGCCAGCUGUUCCCAGAAACAGGAAUAACUUGACUUUGAAACCGUGUUCUGCUCCCACCUCAGCUAACAGAGCGGUGUGGCUCUGCAGGAUAACUUACUUCACAGUUUUCAUUUUAAGAACAAACAUAAGCACAUCCUCUAAUCUAAAGCUUUUUGAAAUGGACUUUACUGUUAGUUCAAAUGUCUCAUAAUUUGUUAUGGACAGCAGAACUGAGGGCCACAAAGAUGGUGAGGGGCCUGGAGCAUCUCUCCUAUGAGGAAAGGCUGAGUGAACUGGGUCUGUUCAGCCUUGAGAAGAGAAGACUGAGAGGGGACCUGAUCCAGGUCUAUAAAUAUCUAAGGUGUGGGGGGCAGAAUGGCGAGGCUGGACUCUUUUCAGUGGUGAGUGGAGACAGGACAAGGGGAAACGGCUGGAAACUGCAGCAUAGGAAGUUCUGCACAAAUGUGCGCAAGAACUUCUUUACAGUGAGGUGACGGAGCACUGGAACAGGCUGCCCAGGGAGGUGGUGGAGUCUCCUUCUCUGGAGAUGUUCCAGACCUGCCUGGAUGCCGACCUGUGCGACCUGCUGUAGGGAACCUGCUUUGGCAGGGGGGUUGGACUCGAUGAUCUCUGGAGAUCCCUUCCAACCCCUACAAUUCUGUGAUCCUGUGAUAUUUAGAGAAGCCUAACUAUAAGAUACAGUUUAGGUGCAUUUCUUACCUCAC